AGUCAAAGUACUAGUUGCAACUAUCGGAUAACAAUCUGAAGGCUGCACUAAGGUCAAAUGGCCAUGCCAAGGUGGUGGAACUAAGUCUACAGAUGUUCAAGAGCACCAAUGACCAUGAAGUAUUUGGUGCUGCAUCAACCACUGAGGAAAUAGGUUGUCCCUUUGUACAUCACCAUGAAGAUCAAUCAAGGAAAAACUGAUUGUUGAGGCAACCCUUCAGCAUCUAAUCUAUCACAUCCCCUUGAACAGGAAGUAAAAUUCUCCAUCUCCAGUUCUGGUGUGGUGCACUCUGAG
This is a long non-coding RNA of Rhincodon typus (whale shark), 294 nucleotides long. RefSeq lists it as uncharacterized. The transcript is spliced from 3 exons. The record is from RefSeq and is a predicted model, not a curated record. Lineage: Eukaryota; Metazoa; Chordata; Chondrichthyes; Orectolobiformes; Rhincodontidae.